Molecule: unclassified non-coding RNA, 299 nt
Filed under: uncultured fungus
Lineage: Eukaryota; Fungi
Description: partial contains 5.8S ribosomal RNA, internal transcribed spacer 2, and large subunit ribosomal RNA
Source: RNAcentral
AACGCAUAUUGCGCCCUCUGGUAUUCUGGGGGGCAUGCCUGUUUGAGUGCCCAGAAAUACACUCAACUCAAAACUUGCUUUUGGGUUGGAGGGUGGGGGACUUGCCUUGCUCGUCUGACGAGGCUCCCCUCAAAUACCUUAGCUGGCCUUGCUUUGCCGGUCUGCCUCUUUGGCUUGAUAGUCUUGUCGAUGCCGUGGAGCGACUUUGGUGGGCUGCUUACAGUCGUCCCUCUCGGGGGACAGCUUUUGCUUUCUGAGCUUUGGGCCUCAAAUCAGGUAGGACUACCCGCUGAACUUAA